This is a small RNA of Bizionia argentinensis, 128 nucleotides long. It matches the Rfam family "6S-Flavo RNA". Lineage: Bacteria; Pseudomonadati; Bacteroidota; Flavobacteriia; Flavobacteriales; Flavobacteriaceae. The record is from Rfam.
ACUCAACGCGAAUUCUUUAAAAAGGGUGAGUUUAAGUUGUAAAAGCGCGCUGUUAGUGCUGAAUUUAUUCAGUAUCUCGGACAGAUUCUUGAUCAGCUUGGUAUCCCUAAACUUGUUUUAAGGAGUUU